This 2282-nucleotide unclassified non-coding RNA is filed under the name Hevea brasiliensis (rubber tree). The record is from RNAcentral. Lineage: Eukaryota; Viridiplantae; Streptophyta; Magnoliopsida; Malpighiales; Euphorbiaceae.
GGGGAGCAGAGACGCCAGCCAGGGGGGAAGCAUACAAUUCAAUUUCAACAAAGACGCUCCUUUCCCUCGCAACACACGCUUACAAAAUACUAGUAAACAGUGCCUUAAAUGUGGAUCCUCAACUCCAGAUAAAGAUUAAACAGUCAGAUUUAUCAAACUAUGAACACCAGUUAGCUGGCAUUUAAUGCCAAAUCAUAUCAAUCUACAGAAUCCAAAGCCAGAUACUAAGAGAAGAAGAGAAUCCAAAUCCCCAUCAAUGCUCUUAAUUGCAGCACGAUUCUGCAGCGGAAAAACCUUCUUUUUCUAUGUCAAAAUGCAUAUUUCUUUCCAUGUAUAAAAACUCCCACCGCUGCCCCUUUUGUUUUCUUUCCAUUCAAAAACUGCUCUGCUCUCUCUCUCUCUCUAUCUAUUUAUACAUCACCUAGUAAAUGGAGAUGAACCCACCAAGGAACAAAAUGAAGAGGGCUAGCGGUUUCUCUCUGGUGAGUGAAGAUGUUAUUGAAAAUAUACUCUCUAGGCUUCCUGCCUUGUCAUUUGCUUCCGCAGCCUGCGUUAGCAAAUGCUGGAACAAGGUGUGCGGUCGAAUCCUCUCAAGGCCUAAGGUUGCCUCUGCUCUCUCUCUCAACCCUUCCCUCCAUGAUGCUGUGAAUGAGGUUUUUGAAAAGGUUCUGUCCGAGCCUAUUUCUCCUCACUUUGCAAUUGCCUGUAUUGGCAAGCAAUUCAGCUUGGAAGUGGCUCACCAACUAAUAACACAAAAAUUGGGCUCAAAAGUGCCAGUAAUUACUAAUGCAGCCAGUGGAAUCAUCGGUGCUGAUGCUCGUAGCGAUGAACUAAGGGAGAUUAGGUGGGAAUCAAGUGAUGACGAUGAUGAUGAUGAUCAGGAUGAUGAGACUGAUUCUCAAGGAGACAGUCUACUUGAUAAAGGAAUCGUUUUGGUUGUUGGAUUUGUACCUGGACUCAAAGUUGAUGCAAUCCCACUGUUGCGACCAAAGACGGUACCUCAAAUAGCUUUGGUUGACAAAUUUUUGAUGGAUAUUAGUAGCUUCACAGCGUCUGUUUCAGAUUGCUUAUCACCUGCUGGGAUCAUAUUGUUUGGAGAUCGAAACAUCGAUAUGAAACCUAUCCUUGCAAAAAUGGAUUGUGCCAUGAAUGAGGAAACAGUCAUUGUGGGUGAUGCAACUGGCUGCUUCUUGUGCAGAAGGGCAGAUGAUUCUCAAAAUGACCAUGCAGAUACGAACUUAGAUGCUGUUGCCCUUGUAUUUGCAAGGGACAAACAUAAGUCUGAUGGGGCAGGUAUAGGAGAAAUUCAAUUUCAUGUCACAUUGUCAACUGGCGUAAUGCCAUUUGGUCCCCAACUCCAGGCAGUUUGUGUUAUAGCAAAAGACACAGAGUGUUCAUGGCUUACUGCCAGAUUGCAAGGACAGUAUGAAAUUCUUGAUGGGGAGGGCCUCUUAGGUGAUAUUAGUGAUCAGUUCAAUGGCGAAGAGUCUCCUGAUCUCUACAUUGGAGUUGUACAGCAAAGAGAAUGCUGUAUUGGAGCAGAGAGUUCAUCAAGGGCAUCCUUGGCGUUUUAUGAAGUUCUUGGGGGCGAUAAAGAGUUCUUUAUAAUUAACGGUGUUGGCAUCAAACCUGGUGAUUCUUUCCUAUUCUACCAUUCAGACUCUGAUACUGCAUCAUCGUCAUGUGGCGACGCCUACAGAAACCUUGCAAAUCUGAAGGAAGAAUCGAAAAGGAAAAACUGCCUGCGUCCGAGGAAUGUUGAAGAGGAAGAGGUGUUUGGAGGUUUAAUUUUCUCUUGUGUUCACCGGGGUGAGUCAUUCCACCAUAAUGCAGAUAGCUUCCCAUUCCGCGAAAACUUUCCUGGAGUUCCGCUAGCAGGAGUGUUUUGCAGUGGAGAAAUUGGACGAGGUUCUUCAAGCUCAAUAUCUCAAGAAGAUGAUGAAGAAAACUCUGCUCGUUGCUGCCUGCAUUACCAUAGCACAGUAUACUUGGUUAUGUCAUAUGUUCCAGCAACUUCAGAGCGUUAAAUGCACAAAAGGCAAAUAUAUUUGCCUCUUAGCAAUGGAUGCAUAAAACUUGCCAUAGGGUAUAGCGUUUUUCUAUUGCAUAUAGUUUAGCUUCGUGUAUGUAUCAAAGCUCCAACAAUGCUUGCUGAUGUUGUUUUUGUGUUCUUUGAUGUAUGAAUUAUGAAAUUGAAUUGGGGGGACUUUGCUCCUUCUAAAUACUUUUGUUUGGCAUUGUUGCCAAAUUGCAAAUUAAUAGAUUUUCCCGUGAUGUUUAUG